This 497-nucleotide ribosomal RNA is filed under the name uncultured bacterium. Its description in RNAcentral is "partial 16S ribosomal RNA". It matches the Rfam family "Bacterial small subunit ribosomal RNA", at positions 28 to 507 of the family's 1533-position model. The record is from RNAcentral.
GAUGAACGCUGGCGGCGUGCCUAAUACAUGCAAGUCGAGCGAACAGAUAAGGAGCUUGCUCCUUUGACGUUAGCGGCGGACGGGUGAGUAACACGUGGGUAACCUAUCUAUAAGACUGGAAUAACUCCGGGAAACCGGGGCUAAUGCCGGAUAACAUGUUGAACCGCAUGGUUCUACAGUGAAAGGCGGCUUUGCUGUCACUUAUAGAUGGACCCGCGCCGUAUUAGCUAGUUGGUGAGGUAACGGCUCACCAAGGCAACGAUCCGUAGCCGACCUGAGAGGGUGAUCGGCCACACUGGAACUGAGACACGGUCCAGACUCCUACGGGAGGCAGCAGUAGGGAAUCUUCCGCAAUGGGCGAAAGCCUGACGGAGCAACGCCGCGUGAGUGAUGAAGGUCUUCGGAUCGUAAAACUCUGUUAUUAGGGAAGAACAAAUGCGUAAGUAACUGUGCGCGUCUUGACGGUACCUAAUCAGAAAGCCACGGCUAACUACGUG